RNAcentral lists this ribosomal RNA (498 nucleotides) under uncultured bacterium. RNAcentral's name for it is "bacterial SSU rRNA". It matches the Rfam family "Bacterial small subunit ribosomal RNA", at positions 29 to 519 of the family's 1533-position model. The record is from RNAcentral.
AACGAACGCUGGCGGCGCGCCUAACACAUGCAAGUCGAACGAGAAGCUGUAGCAAUACAGUUGUACAGUGGCGAACGGGUGAGGAAUACAUGGGUGACCUACCCUCGAGUGGGGAAUAACCAGCCGAAAGGUUGGCUAAUACCGCGUACGUUUCCCAGUCUGCGGAUUGGGAAGGAAAGCGAUGCCGUGGGUAUCGCGCUCAAGGUUGGGCUCAUGUCCUAUCAGCUGUUGGUGAGGUAACGGCUCACCAAGGCAACGACGGGUAGCUGGUCUGAGAGGACGAUCAGCCACACUGGCACUGCGACACGGGCCAGACUCCUACGGGAGGCAGCAGUGAGGAAUAUUGCGCAAUGGGCGAAAGCCUGACGCAGCGACGCCGCGUGGGGGAUGAAGGUCUUCGGAUUGUAACCCCUUUUCGGGAGGGAAGAGUGGGACGAGCAAUCGUUCGGACGGGUACCUCCAGAAGCAGCCACGGCUAACUUCGUGACAGCCGCCGCC